AGGGAAGGCAAAGCAGUGAUGUGGAGCAAAACCCGAAAAGCAGUCUUAGUUCGGAUUGUAGGCUGCAACUCGCCUACAUGAAGUCGGAAUUGCGAGUAAUCGCGGAUCAGCAUGCCGCGGUGAAUACGUUCCCGGGUCUUGUACACACCGCCCGUCACACCAUGGGAGCCGGUAAUACCCGAAGUCAGUAGUCUAACCGCAAGGAGGACGCUGCCGAAGGUAGGAUUGGCGACUGGGGUGAAGUCGUAACAAGGUAUC
This 258-nucleotide ribosomal RNA is filed under the name uncultured bacterium. RNAcentral describes it as "partial 16S ribosomal RNA". It matches the Rfam family "Bacterial small subunit ribosomal RNA", at positions 1243 to 1500 of the family's 1533-position model. The record is from RNAcentral.